GAUGGAUUCCUCGGGAUGGAUUCCUUGGGAUGGAUUCCUUGGGAUGGAUUGUCAGGAUUCCUCGGGAUAGAUUCCAUGGGAUGGAUCCCUCAGGAUGGAUUUCUCAGGAUGGAUUCCUUGGGAUUCCUCAAGAUGGAUUCCUCAGGAUGGAUUGUCAGGAUUCCUCGGGAUGGAUUCCUCAGGAUGGAUUCCAUGGGAUGAAUUCCUUCAGGUGGAUUCCUUAGGACGAAUUCCUUGGGAUGGAUUCCUCGGGAAGGAUUAUCAGGAUUCCUUGGGAUGGAUUCCUCUGGAUUCCUCGGGGCGGAUUCCUUGGGAUUCCUCAGGAUGGAUUCCUUGGGAUGGAUUGUCAGGAUUCCUUGGGAUGGAUUCCUUGGGAUGGAUUCCUUGGGAUUCCUUGGGAUGGAUUCCUCAGGAUGGAUUCCUCGGGAAGGACUAUCAGGAUUCCUCAGGAUGGAUUCCUCGGGAUGGAUU
This 471-nucleotide long non-coding RNA is filed under the name Lonchura striata (white-rumped munia). Its description in RNAcentral is "domestica (Bengalese finch) lncRNA (ENSLSDG00000003002.1)". Lineage: Eukaryota; Metazoa; Chordata; Aves; Passeriformes; Estrildidae. The record is from RNAcentral.